CUGGCGGCAGGCCUUAUACAUGCAAGUCGAGCGCAUCCUUCGGGAUGAGCGGCGGACGGGUGAGUAACGCGUGGGAAUGUGCCCUUCUCUACGGAAUAGCCACUGGAAACGGUGAGUAAUACCGUAUACGCCCUUAGGGGGAAAGAUUUAUCGGAGAAGGAUCAGCCCGCGUUAGAUUAGGUAGUUGGUGGGGUAACGGCCUACCAAGCCUACGAUCUAUAGCUGGUUUUAGAGGAUGAUCAGCCACACUGGGACUGAGACACGGCCCAGACUCCUACGGGAGGCAGCAGUAGGGAAUCUUGGACAAUGGGGGAAACCCUGAUCCAGCCAUGCCGCGUGAGUGAAGAAGGCCUUAGGGUCGUAAAGCUCUUUCGCCUGUGAUGAUAAUGACAGUAGCAGGUAAAGAAACCCCGGCUAACUCCGUGCCAGCAGCCGCGGUAAUACGGAGGGGGUUAGCGUUGUUCGGAAUUACUGGGCGUAAAGCGUACGUAGGCGGAUUAAUAAGUUAGAGGUGAAAUCCCAGGGCUCAACCCUGGAACUGCCUUUAAAACUGUUAGUCUUGAGAUCGAGAGAGGUGAGUGGAAUUCCAAGUGUAGAGGUGAAAUUCGUAGAUAUUUGGAGGAACACCAGUGGCGAAGGCGGCUCACUGGCUCGAUACUGACGCUGAGGUACGAAAGUGUGGGGAGCAAACAGGAUUAGAUACCCUGGUAGUCCACACCGUAAACGAUGAAUGCCAGACGUCAGCAAGCAUGCUUGUUGGUG
Molecule: ribosomal RNA, 762 nt
Filed under: uncultured marine bacterium
Lineage: Bacteria
Description: bacterial SSU rRNA
Rfam family: Bacterial small subunit ribosomal RNA
Source: RNAcentral